CGCGUAGGCGGCCUUCUAAGUCAGACGUGAAAUCCCCCGGCUUAACCUGGGAACUGCGUCUGAUACUGGGAGGCUUGAGUAUGGGAGAGGGAUGUAGAAUUCCAGGUGUAGCGGUGAAAUGCGUAGAUAUCUGGAGGAAUACCGGUGGCGAAGGCGGCAUCCUGGACCAUUACUGACGCUGAGGCGCGAAAGCUAGGGAGCAAACG
Molecule: ribosomal RNA, 206 nt
Filed under: uncultured bacterium
Lineage: Bacteria
Description: partial 16S ribosomal RNA
Rfam family: Bacterial small subunit ribosomal RNA
Source: RNAcentral